AGAUUUCACAGGUUAAUUUUGAGACGAGUAUACCAAUUACUACUGGGGAAGGGCAAGUUGAUAUAGGUGAUGUACACUACCUGAUAAAGUUCGAUCAGUUCCAUAAUUUACGGUUGAUGGUUAACUUUGAUAAGGAUGAUUCAAGCAGUCGAAGAUUGAAGAUUUUCAACCAUUUUUUUUUGUAACAAUGUCUUGUUAUCGACUUCAUUCUAAUCUUGAUGAUUUGAACGU
This is a long non-coding RNA of Cynara cardunculus var. scolymus (artichoke), 231 nucleotides long. RefSeq lists it as uncharacterized. The transcript is spliced from 2 exons. NCBI's taxonomy places the organism in Eukaryota, Viridiplantae, Streptophyta, Magnoliopsida, Asterales, Asteraceae. The record is from RefSeq and is a predicted model, not a curated record.